CGAGUGAGCGGCAGAGCUCAGAUUUGAAAUCGUGCUUUGCGGCACGAGUUGUAGAUUGCAGGUUGGAGUCUGUGUGGAAGGCGGUGUCCAAGUCCCUUGGAACAGGGCGCCCAGGAGGGUGAGAGCCCCGUGGGAUGCCGGCGGAAGCAGUGAGGCCCUUCUGACGAGUCGAGUUGUUUGGGAAUGCAGCUCCCAGCGGGUGGUAAAUUCCAUCUAAGGCUAAAUACUGGCGAGAGACCGAUAGCGAACAAGUACUGUGAAGGAAAGAUGAAAAGCACUUUGAAAAGAGAGUGAAACAGCACGUGAAAUUGUUGAAAGGGAAGGGUAUUGCGCCCGACAUGGGGAUUGCGCACCGCUGCCUCUCGUGGGCGGCGCUCUGGGCUUUCCCUGGGCCAGCAUCGGUUCUUGCUGCAGGAGAAGGGGUUCUGGAACGUGGCUCUGCGGAGUGUUAUAGCCAGGGCCAGAUGCUGCGUGCGGGGACCGAGGACUGCGGCCGUGUAGGUCACGGAUGCUGGCAGAACGGCGCAACACCGCCC
Molecule: ribosomal RNA, 536 nt
Filed under: Pichia kudriavzevii
Lineage: Eukaryota; Fungi; Ascomycota; Pichiomycetes; Pichiales; Pichiaceae
Description: partial large subunit ribosomal RNA
Rfam family: Eukaryotic large subunit ribosomal RNA
Source: RNAcentral